This 103-nucleotide transfer RNA is filed under the name Neurospora sublineolata FGSC 5508. Its description in RNAcentral is "tRNA-Und (NNN) (tRNA-Und-NNN-6-1)". Lineage: Eukaryota; Fungi; Ascomycota; Sordariomycetes; Sordariales; Sordariaceae. The record is from RNAcentral.
GGUCCGCUGGUGUAACUAGUAGCACGCCUGGUCUAGUAGAAUACGCUACUCGGAACUGGUUUGGGGGAUCAGGAAAUCGCAGGUUCGAAUCCGGCGCGGACCA